RNA transcript from Nasonia vitripennis (jewel wasp), 2068 nucleotides. It is a transcript of the gene named peptidyl-prolyl cis-trans isomerase CYP95-like, with no coding region annotated. The transcript has 3 exons. NCBI's taxonomy places the organism in Eukaryota, Metazoa, Arthropoda, Insecta, Hymenoptera, Pteromalidae. The record is from RefSeq and is a predicted model, not a curated record.
GUAGACAAGCCGCGAUUCGAAAUGAGAGAUAUAGAUAUCCAGCAACAGGCCAUGCAUGAAAAUCGCCUGCUUCAUGUGACAGUUGCUCGAUGUAUGCUGAGACAAGCAAAGCAAUGGCGCCGAGAAGGAGUAGAAGUGCGGGAAUUAACAAAGUCAACCGUGCUGCUGAGUGGGCGAAUUUCGUGAGUAUUAUAUUUGUGUACUGCCUGCAUAUUACUAGGUAUGUUUUAUGCAUAUGUAAAACAUGCGUAUGUAUUUCAGCGCCAUCGUCUCCGCUUGUACCGGGCUUCUACGCCUAUCUCAGAUCUCAACCGCGACGAGCGAGAGGACGGCGAGAUCGUAGACGACCGGACGUUCAACGUAUCGAUCCCUCGAUCUCCCCGAUCACCUUCUUUGCUACGUAGUGCCACUUCCCCGCCACGUCCGCGCCAGAACCAUUGGGUGGCGCCGUAUGAUCGUCGCCGAGAUCACGAGAGAGUCCGCAAUCCACCAGUGCGAAGAAGACGAGACCUCGAUAGUUUUAGCGAUGUUGGCUCUGGAGACGAGUAUCAGCAUGAUUACUCGCUGGCAUUACCAUCACCGCCUCGAGCGUCUCCUGGGCCAUCAGUUUCUCCCUCGCCUGUACGUGGAAAUCCACGCUUCCUUGAUCGAGAUCAUCGGGGUCGCGGGAGGGUCUAUCGCGGCCGUGGCUCUCGAUCGGCAACACGAGGGCAAAACCACUCGAACGAUGCUCAUCGUGGUCGUGAACGAGCCCGGGAUUACAACCCACAUCGGGGCCGUGGUCCGGUUUUGAGUCGUAGUCGGAGUGUUGCAAGCCGAGGGAGUGAAAAUCAAGGUGCUGGCGCUCCUGCCAUGAUUUUUAACGCGCCAUGUACUUUUUAUAUUCAACAAUAAAAAAGAAUAAAUCUAUAUAAAAAAUCUAUAUUGACUAUUUUUUAUUUUGUUCCAAAUUAAAUUUAUAUAACUAAACUUUAUUAUAAAAUAGAUUAUUACUUAUUUUCUGUUUCGAGGUUAAAGAAUAUACAUAACUCUACUUAUUCCUUACAAAAUUAUUAUUAUUUAUUACUUUUUACUUGUAAAAAGGUAGAGGGUUCAGUAGUAUAUAGUUUCGCAAUAUACGUCCCUGCUUUCCAAUUCAAGCGCCAUCUAACGAAAAUCGGAACACUAAUUAUUCCCUGUUUUACCGAUAAUUACAGCAUGUAUAUAUGACAUGUGUAUUUGUAUGACAAAUUAAUACACUCUUAAAAAAGUUUAAGAAUCCCAAUUUAGAACAUUUAUUAGUUGAAGCAGGCGGAAAUCGAAUAAUUUUGGCAGGAGAUACCCGUUGGUGUAGUUACAGAGAUGUGUUUCGUCGAGCUUUACGAAAUGCUCCUUUUAUGCGCGAGCGCAAGGAAUAUUUCGGCCGUCCCCACUCUUCUCACCUCCUACGAAACCAACAGCUACGCAGUAGUCAACGCAGCGACGGCAGGCCAUCGACGCGCAUGUGUGCGUGCGCGUCCCCCUUCUCUCUCCACCUACCAAGCCAGCAUUAGCAGCAGCGCGUUGCGUAACAGUAUUUAUAUGUAUAUGUGCGCGUAAGCGAGCGACGGCGAGUCGUGCGCAUCCGAGUAUGUUUGUAUAAAUGAUAAAUGUAAAUAUGAAUGAAUGAUAGUAUGAUUGUGUGAAUGUGCGAAUAUUUUCGGCGGCUCGAUCAGCGCUCGCUUAGCGCCCUAUAAAAGGCCAUGCGAGGCCUGUGUUCAAUCACUAGUAGCAGCACAAUUAAGCGGUCUAGUCUACUCUGGCUGCACUUUUAAGCGCCUUAGUACAUAUACAGAAAUCUACUGCAAAAUUAAGCGUAGAAUUUAAUAAUUAUAAAUUUCGAGAAGCACUUUUAAGCGCUCUAACACAUACUCUACUGCAAAAUUAAGCGUAGAAUUUAAUAAUAUUUAAUAAUCGCAUAACAGAAGUCUUCAUAAAAAAAUAAACAAAAAUUGUAACUAAAUCUGAUUUAAAAAGAAUAAUAGCAAUAAUAGGCAUUAUUCUUAUGUUAAAUUAUUUUUGUUAAUAUACACACUAUUUUAAAUAUAAA